GGGGGUAUUGCUCAGUGGUAAAGUGUGUGCUUAACAAGUGCAAGGUCCCAGGAUCAAUUCCUGGUAUCUCUG
This 72-nucleotide transfer RNA is filed under the name Camelus bactrianus (Bactrian camel). It matches the Rfam family "tRNA". Rfam says of the family: Transfer RNA (tRNA) molecules are approximately 80 nucleotides in length. Their secondary structure includes four short double-helical elements and three loops (D, anti-codon, and T loops). RNAcentral also lists the same sequence under 2 other names. Lineage: Eukaryota; Metazoa; Chordata; Mammalia; Artiodactyla; Camelidae. The record is from Rfam by way of RNAcentral.